RNAcentral lists this ribosomal RNA (253 nucleotides) under uncultured bacterium. Its description in RNAcentral is "partial 16S ribosomal RNA". It matches the Rfam family "Bacterial small subunit ribosomal RNA", at positions 524 to 776 of the family's 1533-position model. The record is from RNAcentral.
UACGUAGGGGGCAAGCGUUGUCCGGAUUUAUUGGGCGUAAAGAGCGUGUAGGCGGCUCGGUAAGUCCGCUGUGAAGGUCCAGGGCUCAACCCUGGAAUGCCGGUGGAAACUGUCGAGCUAGAGUCCGGAAGAGGCGAGUGGAAUUCCUGGUGUAGCGGUGAAAUGCGUAGAUAUCAGGAGGAACACCGAUGGCGAAGGCAGCUCGCUGGGACGGUACUGACGCUGAGACGCGAAAGCGUGGGGAGCAAACAGG